Molecule: long non-coding RNA, 1328 nt
Organism: Clupea harengus (Atlantic herring)
Lineage: Eukaryota; Metazoa; Chordata; Actinopteri; Clupeiformes; Clupeidae
Source: Ensembl
UGAGAAGACAUCUCUUUUUCCUCUGCUGGGACCAGCAAUCUAUCAUGAUGAGGUAGGCUAAUUAUCUCAAAAUGAAAACACCUGCUGCUUUUAUAAUAGAUACAUGGAUAAAGCUCGUGCUUAGACCUGUUCCCGAAAGGACAUAUCGCAGAGUAUCAUCAUAAACUCCAGAACGUCUUGAGGUUUUUGGCACAGCUAAAUCUUUAAAAUGAAGGCCCCGUGCCCAAAACAAUCCAGGAAACCGAAGAGUGUUAAGAAAACUGACAAGAAGAGGACAAGGGCUUUUUCAAACUAUAUAUACAAGCUUCAGAAAGAGGGUAGUCACCCGUACGUCAACGAGACGGUGUGCGUUUCAAAACGAGAUGCUACAAGUGUGAGCCAGUGGAUUGGUGCCGAAGCGGCCCGGCUGUCGAAGUUCAACAAGCGGGGUGCCAUCACGCAACUAGAGGUUCUCUCAGCUAUGCUACUGUUCAAGGCGGGGAAUGACGUGCACACUGACCGCGCCUGAGUUUUUGUUCGUUUCUUAAUCUUUUUACGUUGAUGUAAAUGUUUCCGUAAUGACUAAUUCCGUUAUGUAUUGAAUAAAAUGUUUCUACUUUGAAGAAAAUGCCUUGGUGAAUGUCUUGUGUUCUAGAGUGUGGUUACUGAGGUUGACAAUGGUCAUAUGUCAAUAUUUAGAUGUAGUUGUCUUGGGUUUCUGAGGCGUCCUCAUGAUUGUCUUCCAAGUGCAAGUGUAGCCAAGCGACCUCACCCAUCAUGCUGCUCCUGCAACCAAACACAAGCUGCACUACUUUCGCUACAUGUUUUUUUUUUUUUAAAUAAUUUUAUGCAUAUGCCCCAAGUAGUCUGACUAAGUCAUGGUAUAGGUCCAGAGCUGUAAAAGCUUCAAAACAGCUCUGCAUUUAAAGACCUUACUGACUGUCUGUUGGAGGGGAAAUCCUGCAUAUGUGGCUGUUGCUUAGUAACCUGGUGUGAUCCUAGCACUGCCUCUGUGGAAGACCCAUUUUUGAUUUUGCAGCUGCCUGGAUGUAAAAAUAACCAUCUUUUAUCCAUCAUUCAUUAUGUAUUCCUAUUUCUAUCUUUUUUUUUAGUCAUGAAUCAAUUUGAUUUUUAAUGCGUGGUCGUGUUUUGUUUUAUUUAAAAUGGUAGGAGAAAUAAAGCGCGCUUGUACUAUCAGGUCAUAGCACAGCUUUCAUUGUGAACUUGUCACGGGUUGUCAUGAUCUAUGAGACAUGCUAACAGCAGCUGUUUAGUUUCACUGUUCAGCUUGUCAGGGCCAGCUUAAUGUCAGGCUAAGCACUCUCUGGCUCUGACAACUGUGUUGUGUG